AUAAUGAAACACCGGCUCCCGUACGACCACGGAAGGUAAGCAACAUCGAAACUGGUCAAUGCCUAGAUGGGUGACCGCUUGGGAAUACCAGGUGCUGUAAU
Acanthosepion pharaonis is the source of this 101-nucleotide non-coding RNA. The record is from the annotation of a GenBank genome assembly. Lineage: Eukaryota; Metazoa; Mollusca; Cephalopoda; Sepiida; Sepiidae.